UACGUAGGUCCCGAGCGUUGUCCGGAUUUAUUGGGCGUAAAGCGAGCGCAGGUGGUUUAUUAAGUCUGGUGUAAAAGGCAAUGGCUCAACCAUUGUAUGCAUUGGAAACUGGUAGACUUGAGUGCAGGAGAGGAGAGUGGAAUUCCAUGUGUAGCGGUGAAAUGCGUAGAUAUAUGGAGGAACACCGAUGGCGAAAGCGGCUUUCUGGCCUGUAACUGACACUGAGGCUCGAAAGCGUGGGGAGCAAACAGG
RNAcentral lists this ribosomal RNA (252 nucleotides) under uncultured bacterium. Its description in RNAcentral is "partial 16S ribosomal RNA". It matches the Rfam family "Bacterial small subunit ribosomal RNA", at positions 524 to 776 of the family's 1533-position model. The record is from RNAcentral.